UGGUUUGUGCAAUUUUAACCAAGACCCAUAAUUCCCAAUCUGAAGAUUUCACAAUGUGAACUGUAUCAAUUUCAGGGUUUUAUAUACUGACAGCAAUGUAAACUGUAUCAAUUUCAGGGCUUUAUAUACUGACAGCAAUGUGAACUGUAUCAAUUUCAGGGUUUUUCACGCUAUUACUUCCCAAAUAGAACGGUACGGGUACUUUUCCCAACUGGGCCAAACAAAUUGCUGUAAGGUGACCAAACAAGCAGCAAUACUAAGGAGCUUUAUAUACUGACAGCAAUGUCCUUGAUGUUUAAUUUUAUUCCGAACUUCAAAUUCUUGUUCACUGAACAAUAAACAUUUAAAAAAAUAUUUUAAGUUAAUUAUUUUAAAACUGCCACCCAGUAAGAUUUGAAUACAAUUGUUAUUAUAGACAUAUACUGAAUUAAAUGGUCAUAAUAGAAUUGUGUGUUCAUUGAACAAAUAAUUAAACUGAAAACCUAACCAUUUAAAUAACUCAUGUACAGAUAAGAUUUUUUUAUUUAAAGCAAUUUGUAAUUUUAAGUAUCAAAAUGAAAUCUAGACAGAAAACUACCUCUCUCAAGUUUUCAAAUUUGUCUUAAAACACUUAAGAAAGCAGAACAUGAAAAUGGAUUCAUUGAAAUACGAUAUACUAGUACAAAGACACAUGUUCAAACUGGGUGUAAUGCAUAUAUGUAUGUGCUAGGAAUCAUCCCAGAUUAGAAUGUGCAGUCUUGCACUUUGUGUCUACAAUGGAUUUACAUCUCGAAGAGACCUUUUAAACAAACAAUUUUAUUAAAGUGUAAAGUGACCUACAUGAUUAACCUGUGCAGACUGCACAGGCAUAUCUGGGACCGCACUUUACGCACAUGCAUUUAGCCCCCUUUUCUCAGAAGGAGCCUCACGUGUAAAUACUUCAAGCUUCGGAGCUGAAAUACUGUAGACCCUAACAGUCAGUACCGUCAAAUAUAAAAAUAUCAACAACAAAGACAUCACAAAUACAUCCACUAAAAAUGCACUAGUCAUCAUAUGAAUCGAAGCCUGUUCAAUUGCUUUUUCACAGGAUAACCAUCAUAUUUCACACUGCAAACUACUUCAAUAAUGAAUACUUUCGCUGUAUCACUGUACAUCUUAAAAGUUCAAAUAAUGUCUCUGUUUUAAUCUUUGCCUUGUCUAGCCAAUAUAACCAUAUAGAAGAUACUUCAAUUAAUUAUAUGGCAUAAAACUGACCCUGAUUUCAUUUUUUUUAAAUCUCCCAUGUGAGCUGUGGAGAUCUACAAUUUGAUACUGUAAUGUACAUGUACAAUACAAAACUGCUUACCAUGUGAAAUCUAUUACAUAAAUGCAACUGUAAAAUGCUGAUCAAAUG
Dreissena polymorpha is the source of this 1372-nucleotide long non-coding RNA. RefSeq lists it as uncharacterized. Lineage: Eukaryota; Metazoa; Mollusca; Bivalvia; Myida; Dreissenidae. The record is from RefSeq and is a predicted model, not a curated record. The transcript has 2 exons.